UUCCCAUUGAUGUGGUACUAUGCCACAAUUCUUUACUUUGGAAAUUAUUACAGAAAAGAUCCUAGGGAGCGAGCUGGCCUCGCUGCUGCUGCCAUUGCUGCGAUGGCAUGUUCUGUUGUGUUAUUGGUCAUAGUAGCUUACCAUGUUCUCUUUUAGCUCAGCAUUUCAUUUGCUAGUGUGCUCUUAACAUGUACGUGUCAAAACAAGACACUUUCAACUGGAAGAAAUUGCCAAUGCAAAUGUAGAUAGGAAGUACUGGUGGAAGAGCACAAAGUAAAUGUUAUUACAAGGCUAUUCUUCAACAAUUGCAGAUACCAACACUUCAUAAGCAUAUACAAAAACUUGGAACUUCUUUCCCUGUGUUUUAUUGUACCAAUGGGCUUGUGGUGUUAGGGAACAUUGUCGAUUAGCUUAAUAUAUACACAAUUAUGUACGAAUUAGGCAUUGAUGCUUGAGGCACUGUUUAUAUGUGAGGAUAUGUCAUGGGUUCAAUCAAAUAGAUUUAUUUGCGGACAUGACUGGAAGCU
Molecule: unclassified non-coding RNA, 527 nt
Filed under: Hevea brasiliensis (rubber tree)
Lineage: Eukaryota; Viridiplantae; Streptophyta; Magnoliopsida; Malpighiales; Euphorbiaceae
Source: RNAcentral